This 461-nucleotide ribosomal RNA is filed under the name uncultured Desulfobulbus sp. RNAcentral's name for it is "bacterial SSU rRNA". It matches the Rfam family "Bacterial small subunit ribosomal RNA", at positions 925 to 1382 of the family's 1533-position model. The record is from RNAcentral. Lineage: Bacteria; Pseudomonadati; Thermodesulfobacteriota; Desulfobulbia; Desulfobulbales; Desulfobulbaceae.
ACAAGCGGUGGAGUAUGUGGUUAAUUCGAUGCAACGCGAAGAACCUUACCUGGUCUUGACAUCCCGGAGACCCUUAGGAAACUAGGGGUGCUUCCAUCUGGAAGAAUCUGGAGACAGGUGCUGCAUGGCUGUCGUCAGCUCGUGUCGUGAGAUGUUGGGUUAAGUCCCGCAACGAGCGCAACCCUUGCCUUUAGUUGCCAGCAGUUCGGCUGGGCACUCUAAAGGGACUGCCGGUGUUAAACCGGAGGAAGGUGGGGAUGACGUCAAGUCCUCAUGGCCUUUAUGACCAGGGCUACACACGUACUACAAUGGCCGAUACAAAGGGCAGCGACACUGCGAGGUGAAGCCAAUCCCGUAAAAUCGGUCUCAGUCCGGAUUGGAGUCUGCAACUCGACUCCAUGAAGUUGGAAUCGCUAGUAAUCGUGAAUCAGAAUGUCACGGUGAAUACGUUCCCGGGCCUU